Molecule: long non-coding RNA, 617 nt
Organism: Pectinophora gossypiella (pink bollworm)
Lineage: Eukaryota; Metazoa; Arthropoda; Insecta; Lepidoptera; Gelechiidae
Exons: 3
Source: RefSeq, a predicted model, not a curated record
ACGAUCAAACUAUCACAGCUCUCUUUCUUCCCUAUGGCAACAAUCUCUGUGGAAAAAAGAAACAAACAUAGACAAACACCGCUGUCUAGAACGUCAGUGUUUACCGUUUUGAGAUGUUGUGGUAGUCAGCUGGAUACCAAACCUGCCGUUAGUUUUUUGGUGUUUUGGGACAUUAUUUUAACUUUUUAUAUAAACAAUCUGUGAAAUAGUUAUUCAUUAUGAACCAUGGCUUGCGUAGCUAUUGGUUGUGAGAGUAGAAUGGGUGUUAUAAUGGAGAACGAUCAAACAAUGUCUCACCAUGGAUUUCCUAAAUAUCCUAAUUUACGAAACAAGAAAUUAAGAAACAAUUAGAUUCAGACCAUGAAACGAGAUAAUUCUCUCUUCUGAAGGACGCCUUCUCCUUAUUUAAGCCUGUGCUAAUUACAUUUCGAUGUAUCUUGCUUUCUAUCGAGCAGGAUACCAAACAAAAAUAUUACAUAGAGAUGCAGUACCAACAAUAUUCACUCACAUAUCUCACAUAAGGUAAAGUUAUAACGACCAGAGCCGACACUAUACACUUCUAAAGAAAGUGAACAAGAGGAAAUAUUUUUUUUUUAUCACCAAAAGUCGGAAUUGUU